CCCCACUGGCGGCUCGUCGUCCACUGGCCGCGCCCCCGUGCUUCAGGUUGCGACAGCAGGCUGCCGCCAGCGCUCCAGAUGCCUCCAACCUCGCGCCGCCACCACGCCUCUGCCAGCGCUCCGGCCGCCUCCGCCCUCGUGCUCCAGCAGGCUCCAGCACGCCGCCUCCGCCCCUACGCUGCAAGCGACGCUAGCACGCUGCCUCGCUCGUGACCCAGGCCGGCUUCCUCUACCCUGUAACCUGCCCUGGGCCUGCAUCUCCCCCUCAAAGCUCCGGCUGUCAGCGCCGUCGAGGAACUCCCGGCCGCGCUCAUAUUGCUGCUCUGCCUCACCAUCCGCCCCCUCCCCCUGUUUUUUUUACUUUUUGCAGAACCGCCGCCUGCACACCAUGGAGGACUUGAGGCGUUUGGAUCCACGGCGUCCGCGGCGGACGACAAAUCCAUGGAGGUGCUGGCCGCAUGCGCCGCUAUCCCCUACGGCCGCUGUCUCUGCACCCCGUCUUUGUCGUCCCGCUCCAUUCACUGGCGAACUCGAGGAGAGAAAAACAGAUCCAUGGUGAUGGCAGCCGGAUGCGCCGCCAUCUUCGCAGUCCCAUCCCAUCUACAACAGCUCCAUCUCUGUCAUCCCCGCUCCAGCAGCUAGCGCCGUGAGGGCUAUGGUCGUCCAUCCCACCAUGACACCCUGUGCCGCAUCAGGAAGGCUACCGGCUUACCAUGGUGUUGAACAUACGUAUAAUGGAAUACAAUCGUCUACUCCUUUGUCCACUCCAAGUUUCUAACAUCCAAGAUGCAGUGAGGAUGCUGGAAGCACUUGCAAGUCUGGGAGGAAUCAAUUUAGAUGAGAGCGUAUUAAGAAAGGUGAAGCCUUGCUGCGAGUAAGCCGGGUGCUCAUGGGCGAUGAAACCGUCCCAUAUAUGCGGAGCCUAUACUCGGCGAAGAAUCCUCCCGAACAGGUAGGGGAUAAUAUAAAUGUAUAUAGGAGCAUGCCUCCAAUGCCGGACAUUGAUCGUCUGAGCCACCUGAUGCUGUCUCGGCCCACUAUUGAUUCAGAGGGCAGGGAGGACGACGAAGGCACCGAUGACGACCGCAUCUUGGCGGAGGUGACAAAGGGCAAGAAAACGAAGACCUCCCAGGAAGGCUAGAGCACUUCUGGUGGUGAUCCUUUGCCCAGUCACCCCAAGGGACCAAGGGCCACCAUCCGGAAGUGCAAAGCUGGUGCUUUGCCUCAUGGCGCUGAAGAUGACACACCCACUCCCCAAACCUCAAGCAUGCUAAGCAAAAGAUCGGGGAAGCAGUCGCGGAUGAUACUAUGAUGGGAGAAGAUAUGCCCUCCGUCACAGUAGACCUGACAAUAGGUCUUGCUGAAGCCACGCUGGGGCAAACACCGCCCUCGGCUGGCACCAUAGUGAUGGUAAUCUUCACGGUUGCCUCGUCGAAGCAGACCCUGCCUAUGACUGGCACAAUGGUGUUAGCAAGUGCUUUAGGUGCUGCCCCAGCACCCAAACCACUCAAAAAGAAAAAGUUAGGAGUAAAGAAGUCUGCACUGCCAUCCGGACGAUGCCGUGGAGGCUCCAGCCCCCGAGCUAGAGAGGGCAUUUGAUGUUGCAGUUCGUGAUACACCGUCGAAUUCCCUUGUCGGCAUUGAAACUGGCAGGACUAAAUCAGGAGCCAAAGAUGCGUCCCCGGAGAUGCUUGCAGGUAACCCGCAGCAUCAGCCUGCCCCUAGAGAUCAAGGUGCUGCGGGUUCUUCCUCAGGUGGAAUCCUGGUGACUCCCCCUAAGUGGCAGUAUGCCAUCCUGACUGGCCUCAUUGAAGAUCCAAUGUUGUUUUCGGCGACCUUGACAGAGUUUCAAAAUACUUUCAAGGAAUUGUAUAAAUUUUCCACGACCUUGGCCAAUCGAUCCAGAAUCAAGUCGGGCAAACUCAGAGCGGUAGAAGAUGGAGCCCGCCAGUUGCAGGAAAAAGACCGCCGGAUUGGUGAGCAUACCAUGAAAAAUGUUGUGCUUCGGAAUGAGUUCGACACCCUUAAGCAGGAGCGCACCCGGAAGUUUUGCUCUUGAAGCAUGAGAUACAGAAUCUGUCAAACAAGAACAAAGCCCUGGCCAAAACUCACCAAGAUGAUGUAGAGUGUAUGGCGAAGAAACUUGAAGAUGCUGAUGCGCAAUUCGGAGAGUGCCUACAACAUAUCAAGAACAUGGCCGAAGAAAAGGAAAUAAGAGAAAAGGAACUUGAAGAACUCAGGAUUGCUGCCCAGAUAGUAGUCGACAUGGUGGAUCCUCGCGAAGAAGGGCGGGUUAGUGACAAGACGUUGUUGGAGUGACUUCACUAAGCCCCUUAGAAGAUUACUUGCUACAUCUCGGAUACCACCAAAACCUAUGUGGCGCACGUCUUGAUGAAAUCCUAUUGACCCAAGGCCAACCUGAAUCCACUAGCUGACAGCAUGUCAUCUGACUGCUCUGAGGAUAAAUUCUCAGAGUUUGUCGAAGAAGUGAAGUCAGUAGCUCGUAAGUUAGUUGAUAGCUUGGAGUAAGAAUGAGAAACAAUGGUCAAACCACUGAACAAUCUUUUUGAGUAGGAUCAAAAAUCAUAGGACUUAUGUGAAUUAUCAGAAACAUCCGAGCUACACCGAAGGCAACGCUUCUGGAAGUAGUCGAUGUCAUGGUAUUCAAAAGUUAGACCCCUGUAGGGGUGCAAGCAAAUCAGGUUUUACUCAUGUCAUGCGAAAC
Panicum hallii is the source of this 2725-nucleotide long non-coding RNA. RefSeq lists it as uncharacterized. Lineage: Eukaryota; Viridiplantae; Streptophyta; Magnoliopsida; Poales; Poaceae. The record is from RefSeq and is a predicted model, not a curated record. The transcript has 10 exons.